Balaenoptera musculus (blue whale) is the source of this 2532-nucleotide long non-coding RNA. RefSeq lists it as uncharacterized. NCBI's taxonomy places the organism in Eukaryota, Metazoa, Chordata, Mammalia, Artiodactyla, Balaenopteridae. The record is from RefSeq and is a predicted model, not a curated record. The transcript is spliced from 3 exons.
GUAAAGAUCUGUUGAGCGAUUGAAUGAACUGGGAUCCCUGCCCUUGGGGAGCUCAGUCUCAGGGUGGGGGGAGUGGACGAUUAAAGAACUGUAAUUCAGCAACGCUGUUCAGGCGCUCCCAGGAGGCGCCCAGACCAGCCUGGAGAGCUGGGGGUCGGUCUCGGAUGCCCAGCGCACACCCUUCCACGGGGGCGAGGGGGUGACUUUGGAGAGAGGGAAAGAGGAAGACCCUAACCACUGGCUGUUGUUAGGAGGAUGAAGAAUACAGCACAUUUGGCAGAAGGAAGGCCAUUAUUCCCCGCACGCCAGAAACCUCUCUCCUAUCCCCAGGCCAGGCGGGAGCCACUGUAGCCAGAGAAGCUUCCAGACUUCAUCCAGUUUCCCCUUUUUCGUCAGCAGGGGGCAGCAGAGAAGCAGCCCCUUGGCCACCUCUGAAACCUUCCCUGGGGCCGGCGCUGGGGGUACAGGAGGAAGAGGGAUGGCUCCCGUCCUCUGAGGAGGCCCCUCCCGGGAGGGAACCAGCUUUGUGAUUAACCGCGACUCAAGUUAAGGGCCUUGAGAGGCAUGGACGCCCUGCCCUGCGAGGCCUCCCUCCUUCACACGCCUGCUCCUUCAUUCUUCCGUUGAACAAAUGCUUUGUGAGCAGCUGCUGAGUUCCAGGCCUGUGCUUGGCUCUGGGGACGAGAAGAUGGAGAAGAAAUAGCCAAGCCUUCAGCGCACUCACAGCCCAUUGAGGGAGACGUGCUCUAUGGAGAGAGAGAGAGGAGCCGGGUGCAGAGGUGAGACUGUGCUGCUGGCACUACGUGAGGUGACCAGACAGCUGGCAGGAAGCUUCUGGAGAUGAGUGAAAUCUUUAGGAGCAGGCAUGGGUGGUGAGCAGGGCAACAGGAAAAGCCCAGUGGGCUGAACCUCCCUUCCAAGCGCCCAUCACACGCUGCCCGGAAUUCCACCAUCAAAGCCAUUCCUGUGGAUUCGGCUCCUCCGACAUUGAGGGUGUCCUGAAGCCCCCUUCAAUCAGACUCUCCUGCCGAGGCGGGGUGGCCUCGGUGUACGAGAGCUCUCCGAACCCCUCCAGGACGGUGGCACCUCUCCGGAGAGAUCAGGCGCUCAGAAGAGCAGGUGAGACCCCUUCUCCCAUCAGGCUGGGCCAGGCCCUGGAGGCAGGACACGCAGGACCCCUUCCCAGCCUCAGCUGCAGCCUGGGGUCUCCUGGGGAGAGGAGAGCAGAGAGUCCCCACCCGCCCCUACCAGGGCUGGACGGGACGGACCUCCACCUCUCCUGCAAUCCCAUCCGCACCUCUAGAGAACUCCUUGGCGGUCCAGUGGUUAGGACUUGGUGCUUACACUGCCACAGGCCUGGGUUUGAUCCCUGGUUGGGGGGCUAAGAUCCCGCAAGCCGCAAAAAAAAAAAAAAAGCUUACCAUCCCCACCUCUAGCUCCCCUCGCCGGGACCACACCCCCGUACACUCAGCCUCCUGAAGGGAGAUUUCGGGGGAGGCUUUUAGGGCACAGGAGAAACGCUCCCCCCCCACAAACCCCAGCGCAGCCCCUUGCCCCCUUACCCUCUGCAGUGGCCAGGCCUCGCCGGGCCUCACCCGGGAAGAAGCGGGUCAGGGUGACGAGGAAAGCCCCCAGCAAGGUGGCACCCCACAGCACCCACACACGCGGCCACAGCAGCGAGCCCACCGCCUGCGCUGCACCCCGGAGCGCAGCUCCGAGAGCGAUCGCCCCUCCCCAGGGCUCACACCUCGGCCCCUACCCCGUUGGAGCGACAGCCUCCUGGCCCAGCUUCGGUCAUCCCCAGGGCCUCCCACUCCGUCGUGCACCCUUUGGUUAGGGUCGUGGGUUGUAAUGUGUCCUCCCCACCAAAAUAUGUUGAAGUCCUAACCCCGGUACCUGUGAAUGUGACAUCAUUUGGAAAUAGGGUCUUUGCAGAUGUAAUUAGUUAAGAUGAGGCCAUACUGGAUUCAGGCGGGUCCUAAACCCAACGACUGGUGUCCUUAUAAGAAGGCCACGUAAAGACACAGGGACACAGAGACCCACAGGGAGAAGACAGCCGUGUGAAGACGCAGGCAGAGAUGGGGUGGGUGUGUCUGUCUAUCAGCCAAGGGGCGCCAAAGAUCACUGGAAGCCACCAGAAGCUGAGAAGAUGGAAGAAAGUGCUCCUUCCUAGAGCAUUCAGGGGAAGCAUGGCCCCCUGGACACCUUGAUUUUGGACUUCCAGUCUCCAGAACUGUGAAAGAAUAAACGUCUGUGGUUUGAAGCCACCCAGCUUGGGGCAUUUUGUUACAGCGGCCCUAGGAAGCUAAUACGGGCAAGGGUGUCUCCCCAGAUGGCUUUGUUCAGCACAUUCGGCUGCAUUCGGCUCUCUGCCGAAGAGCGCAGAAUCCCAGGAGCUCCUCACAGCCGGCUCCUCCGCCCGUACGCGGGCUCCCCGCCCCCGCCCCUCGCCGUCUCUCCACCAACAACGUGGUCAGUUGCACAGCAUCCUGUUCUCAUUCAGUGGCAAGGAACGGGGUGAGGUGAGUAGAA